AGUGAACGCUGGCGGCGUGCUAAUACAUGCAAGUCGAACGGAAUUUAAAAGAGCUUGCUCUUUUGAAUUUAGUGGCGCACGGGUGAGUAAUAUAUAGCUAAUCUGCCCCUUGCUGGAGGACAACAGUUAGAAAUGACUGCUAAUACUCAUACUCCUUUUUACCAUAAGAUAAAUCGGGAAAGAAUUUCGGCAAGGGAUGAGACUAUAUCGUAUCAGCUAGUCGGUGGGGUAACGGCCUACCGAGGCUAUGACGCGUAACUGGUCUGAGAGGAUGAUCAGUCACAUUGGAACUGAGACACGGCCCAAACUCCUACGGGAGGCAGCAGUAGGGAAUAUUGCGCAAUGGGGGAAACCCUGACGCAGCAACGCCGCGUGGAGGAUGACACUUUUCGGAGCGUAAACUCCUUUUGUUAGGGAAGAAUAAUGACGGUACCUAACGAAUAAGCACCGGCUAA
This 455-nucleotide ribosomal RNA is filed under the name Campylobacter gracilis. Its description in RNAcentral is "bacterial SSU rRNA". It matches the Rfam family "Bacterial small subunit ribosomal RNA", at positions 29 to 500 of the family's 1533-position model. The record is from RNAcentral. Lineage: Bacteria; Pseudomonadati; Campylobacterota; Epsilonproteobacteria; Campylobacterales; Campylobacteraceae.